This 1438-nucleotide ribosomal RNA is filed under the name Salmonella enterica subsp. enterica serovar Pomona. RNAcentral's name for it is "partial 23S ribosomal RNA". It matches the Rfam family "Bacterial large subunit ribosomal RNA", at positions 711 to 2129 of the family's 2925-position model. Lineage: Bacteria; Pseudomonadati; Pseudomonadota; Gammaproteobacteria; Enterobacterales; Enterobacteriaceae. The record is from RNAcentral.
AGACCCGAAACCCGGUGAUCUAGCCAUGGGCAGGUUGAAGGUUGGGUAACACUAACUGGAGGACCGAACCGACUAAUGUUGAAAAAUUAGCGGAUGACCUGUGGCUGGGGGUGAAAGGCCAAUCAAACCGGGAGAUAGCUGGUUCUCCCCGAAAGCUAUUUAGGUAGCGCCUCGUGAAUUCAUCUCCGGGGGUAGAGCACUGUUUCGGCUAGGGGGCCAUCCCGGCUUACCAACCCGAUGCAAACUGCGAAUACCGGAGAAUGUUAUCACGGGAGACACACGGCGGGUGCUAACGUCCGUCGUGAAGAGGGAAACAACCCAGACCGCCAGCUAAGGUCCCAAAGUCAUGGUUAAGUGGGAAACGAUGUGGGAAGGCCCAGACAGCCAGGAUGUUGGCUUAGAAGCAGCCAUCAUUUAAAGAAAGCGUAAUAGCUCACUGGUCGAGUCGGCCUGCGCGGAAGAUGUAACGGGGCUAAACCAUGCACCGAAGCUGCGGCAGCGACACUCAGGUGUCGUUGGGUAGGGGAGCGUUCUGUAAGCCUGCGAAGGUGGCCUGUGAGGGUUGCUGGAGGUAUCAGAAGUGCGAAUGCUGACAUAAGUAACGAUAAAGCGGGUGAAAAGCCCGCUCGCCGGAAGACCAAGGGUUCCUGUCCAACGUUAAUCGGGGCAGGGUGAGUCGACCCCUAAGGCGAGGCCGAAAGGCGUAGUCGAUGGGAAACGGGUUAAUAUUCCCGUACUUGGUGUUACUGCGAAGGGGGGACGGAGAAGGCUAUGUUGGCCGGGCGACGGUUGUCCCGGUUUAAGCGUGUAGGUGUGUGUUCCAGGUAAAUCCGGUUCACUUUAACACUGAGGCGUGACGACGAGGCACUACGGUGCUGAAGCAACAAAUGCCCUGCUUCCAGGAAAAGCCUCUAAGCAUCAGGUAACAUCAAAUCGUACCCCAAACCGACACAGGUGGUCAGGUAGAGAAUACCAAGGCGCUUGAGAGAACUCGGGUGAAGGAACUAGGCAAAAUGGUGCCGUAACUUCGGGAGAAGGCACGCUGACAUGUAGGUGAAGUGAUUUACUCAUGGAGCUGAAGUCAGUCGAAGAUACCAGCUGGCUGCAACUGUUUAUUAAAAACACAGCACUGUGCAAACACGAAAGUGGACGUAUACGGUGUGACGCCUGCCCGGUGCCGGAAGGUUAAUUGAUGGGGUCAGCGCAAGCGAAGCUCCUGAUCGAAGCCCCGGUAAACGGCGGCCGUAACUAUAACGGUCCUAAGGUAGCGAAAUUCCUUGUCGGGUAAGUUCCGACCUGCACGAAUGGCGUAAUGAUGGCCAGGCUGUCUCCACCCGAGACUCAGUGAAAUUGAACUCGCUGUGAAGAUGCAGUGUACCCGCGGCAAGACGGAAAGACCCCGUGAACCUUUACUAUAGCUUGACACUGAACAUUGAGC